CGCAGGUGGUGGUGGGUGCAGGGACAUCCCCCAUGUAUGCCCUACAUGUCCUGCUACUUAGUUAAACUAUGGGCCCAUGAAUGCGGCAGCGGCACUAGUGUUCUCCCUCUUGCCCAGGGUCCAAUCAAUAUUAAAGACGGCCCUGG
Bufo bufo (common toad) is the source of this 146-nucleotide long non-coding RNA. RefSeq lists it as uncharacterized. Lineage: Eukaryota; Metazoa; Chordata; Amphibia; Anura; Bufonidae. The transcript has 3 exons. The record is from RefSeq and is a predicted model, not a curated record.